AGAGAAGGGAUGACACAGUAGGAUAAGCAAAGCACACUGUUGGUUAUGUGUGCCCAAGCAUUGAGGCAGUCAAAGGAGGCAAAUCCGCUUUGAUAAUGCUGGGAUGUGAUGGGGAGCGAAAUUUAGUAGCGAAGUAGCUGAUUUCACACUGUCAAGAAAAGUCUCUAUCGAGGUUAAAGGUACCCGUACCGCAAACCGACACAGGUGGGUGAGGAGAGUAUCCUAAGGCCAGCGAGAGAACUGUUGUUAAGGAACUCGGCAAAAUGACCCCGUAACUUAGGGAUAAGGGGUGCCACCAUCAGGUGGCCGCAGAGAAUAGGCCCAAGCGACUGUUUACCAAAAACAUAGGUUUCUGCUAAGUCGCAAGACGAUGUAUAGGAGCUGACGCCUGCCCGGUGCUGGAAGGUUAAGGGGAUCUGUUAGAGCAAUCGAAGCAGUGAACUUAAGCCCCAGUAAACGGCGGCCGUAACUAUAACGGUCCUAAGGUAGCGAAAUUCCUUGUCGGGUAAGUUCCGACCCGCACGAAAGGCGUAACGAUUUGGGCACUGUCUCAACAACAGACUCGGUGAAAUUGUAAUUCCGGUGAAGAUGCCGGAUACCUGCGACAGGACGGAAAGACCCCAUGGAGCUUUACUGUAGCUUGACAUUGGGUCUUGGUACUACAUGUACAGGAUAGGUGGGAGGCUUUGAAACCAGGACGCCAGUUUUGGCGGAGCCAUCCUUGGGAUACCACCCUUGUAGUACUGGGACUCUAACCAUAGGCCAUGAAUCUGGUCUUGGGACACUGUCAGGUGGGCAGUUUGACUGGGGCGGUCGCCUCCCAAAAGGUAACGGAGGCGCUCAAAGGUUCUCUCAGUACGGUCGGAAAUCGUACGUAGAGUGUAAAGGCAAAAGAGAGCUUGAUUGCAAGACAUACAGGUCGAGCAAGGAUGAAAAUCGGACUUAGUGAUCCGGUGGUUCUGCGUGGAAGGGCCAUCGCUCAACGGAUAAAAGCUACCCUGGGGAUAACAGGCUUAUCUCCCCCAAGAGUCCACAUCGACGGGGAGGUUUGGCACCUCGAUGUCGGCUCAUCACAUCCUGGGGCUGUAGUAGGUCCCAAGGGUUGGGCUGUUCGCCCAUUAAAGUGGUACGCGAGCUGGGUUCAGAACGUCGUGAGACAGUUCGGUCCCUAUCCGUCGCAGGCGUAGGAAAUUUGAGAAGACCUGUCCUUAGUACGAGAGGACCGGGAUGGACGUACCUCUGGUGUACCAGUUGUCUGCCAAGGGCAUGGCUGGGUAGCUAUGUACGGAAUGGAUAAGCGCUGAAAGCAUCUAAGCGCGAAGCCAACUUCAAGAUAAGAUUUCCCACCGCAAGGGUAAGACCCCAGAAAGACUAUCUGGUUGAUAGGUCGAAGGUGUAAGUGCAGCAAUGUAUUUAGCUUAUCGAUACUAAUAGGUCGAGGACUUGACCAA
Molecule: ribosomal RNA, 1451 nt
Filed under: Clostridioides difficile DA00195
Lineage: Bacteria; Bacillati; Bacillota; Clostridia; Peptostreptococcales; Peptostreptococcaceae
Description: bacterial LSU rRNA
Rfam family: Bacterial large subunit ribosomal RNA
Source: RNAcentral